This is a long non-coding RNA of Vombatus ursinus (common wombat), 2591 nucleotides long. RefSeq lists it as uncharacterized. The transcript is spliced from 3 exons. NCBI's taxonomy places the organism in Eukaryota, Metazoa, Chordata, Mammalia, Diprotodontia, Vombatidae. The record is from RefSeq and is a predicted model, not a curated record.
CUCUCUCUCUGUCUCUGACUGUCUGUCUGUCUGUCUCUCUCUCUCCUCCACCCCCACUGGGUUCUUUACUCAUGCUACCCUCUUGCAUACGCAGACAAGCAGCUGGAACUUCUCAGUUGUGUCCGGUUACAAUGUUUCACGGGGAGCGUCUCUUUCAGCAUCACUGCUAUUCUGAAGCAGCAUCCCUCAUCAAAGGACAUGUUGCUCCGGCAUUUCAGCCUGGAGAAGGAGCAGCAGGAAGGGCGGUGACUCAAACCCAGAACCCGGAAAAACAAACACCCACCAGUGACUCACAGCCAGCUCACUCAGGGAUGCUAAGUCUUUCCUUUUCUCCCAAGCCUGGGCCAGCACCACCCCUGACAACCCCCAGGCUCGGCCUUCCUGCUCUGUGGCAAUGCAGAUGUGGCUGGAACUCCCCAUGGAGUCAGGGAUGCGUCAGUGACCCAAAGAUAGAGUUCACUGGGUCAGGGGAUUAAGGCAAUGACUGUCUCAUUUCUUUAAAAAAAUUUUUUUUAGAUGAAUGUUUGAAAAACUCUGACUUAUUGAGUGUGAGUCAGUCUUGAGUGUUUCUGGUUUGGGAUUAGAGAUUUUUGUCCCAUCUCUCUGCCUGCUUUAAUUGAGAUUUUAAUGAUCUAGUCAGCCAGCCGAGAGGAGAUGUGGUCGGGGGGUGGGGCAACAUCUGGAGUCUGGGGUUCUCUCUCCAGCUCUCCUUUGCUGUGGGGUCCUAGGUUAGGAUUAGGGUCUUGGCCACUUCUAUCUCCUAAUGAUAAAAGUACUUUUUAAAAUAAAGCUCAAAGGCCCCACAAAACCCUAAUUCUUAGGUGCCUCAGUUUAUAUUUAUGUAAAACCUGGGUGCGGAAUCCUUUGUAGGAAAGCCUUUUGAAACCCUCAGAUGAAAGCCCACAUGUAAAGGGGAAUCAUCCUCAUUUAUUUUUAAAUGACAUUACUGCACGCAUGAGUGGACAAAUGCAAUUGGAAGCAGCCUGAACGGGGUACUGCUUGCCAUCCCGUUCUACCCAUUGACCCUGUUUGCUUUGGACUGAGAUGUGAGGACCUCUUUGCGCUCUUGUCUCCAAGAUUUCCCACAGCCAGACUCUGUGGAAGGAAUCUAUACCCCAUUUGGAAAAAUGACAGCCAAGCCUGUUGAGGAGAGAUGUCUUCAGUGACCCAGGAUAGAAGACGAAAGGCAACCAAGAGGAAGAGACAGUGACUAAUCCGUCAGCUGAGCCACAUUCCGAAGUGAACUUGGUGGGGACAAAUGCCAUCGAGGAACUGCUCUAAGACUGAGCCCAUUUCCCCAGUGAUUGAGGUGGUAUAGGGGAAAGUGUGCCCUAUGCAUUGGGGGAAAUAUUUGUGCUUCUGUUCUUGAUUUAUCUUAGAAAAAUAUACCUUUAUAAAAACUAAGUGAUGUUAACCGAUUAAAUGAUACUCAGUGCUAAUCACCCGUGGCUUACGAUGGGAAGAAGACGUCAGAAUGGGGACACUAGCCAACAGUGUCAGAGAAGACAUCACUCUUACUCCUCAGAGAUAACAACCCUGAGAGCGAGAAGUAGACUUGUUCUCAAGCCCUGAUUGAUCAAUGCUCCAAGCCCAGCUGCCCCUUUCUCCAUAACUUGAUGGGACUAGGUAAGCAAAUUAACUAUGUGCUCUAAGCAGAACAGUGGCUUCUAAUGUUUAUCACUUUUCAACAACAGAAUGGUUCAUUUAUUGUUUAUGAGGUACCAUAGGUCAUGUGUGGGCCUUAUCUCCUGGAUGGCAGCCUUUUAAUUGUCUCUCAGCUGUAUGGGUGCAGGUAUGUCAUUCAAUUUAUCAACUGAUAUUUAAGAGUUGCUGAAGAAUUAGCUGAUUCUCCCCUUCUCAGUAGGGGGCAAACACCUCUACUUACUUUCUAUUCUGGCUGAUAAUUCUCUCUCAGUUGUUUGCAAGGCUCGCUUUCUUCUGAGCCCAGGAGACAUAUUUGGAUUUGGUUCCAGUCUGGGGAACUGCAGGGUCCAAAGGAAGAGAAAGCGCAGGAGACUCAUUUCAUCCGCGUAGAAGGAAAUAACCUCAUGUCUCCACCAUUCUGAGGGAAGAUGUUACAAAGCACAUGCGUGUCUGUGUUUCUCAGUAGGGCAUUGACUUGAGGAAAAAUGCUGGCAGAACGAAGAUGAACGUGGUCAGGCCAGGAUCUUCUGAACAUCUUCUAGGAAGAUGGAGAACCCUUCCCAAGAGCCUUUUCUUUCUGUCAGGUCAUACCUGCCCUUGUAGGAAGCUCCUGUGUAUGUGUAUACACCACGUCUGCAUGUGUGUGUGUGUGUGUGUGUGUGUGUGUGGGUUUGUGUGUGUGGGUUUAUGUGCAGGAAGGCUAUAAAUUUGUGCCACUACCAUUACCCCAUUAAUUCCAACAAUCACUGAAAGUUCCUCCCUUUGGUCACAAAACAGAACAGUGGGUAGUGCCAGGUCCAAGACAGUUAAAACUUGUAAACAAUUUACAAAGUCUUUGAUCUGAAACUUUUUUAUGAGUAGGCACAGGGCUCCCCAGCUCUUCCAUGCAUCACAUAAUUGGACUCUAUCCUGGAAAGUCACUGUGGUGUGUUUGAACAAACUGUAGC